This 1372-nucleotide unclassified non-coding RNA is filed under the name Hevea brasiliensis (rubber tree). The record is from RNAcentral. Lineage: Eukaryota; Viridiplantae; Streptophyta; Magnoliopsida; Malpighiales; Euphorbiaceae.
GUAAUAAACAAGUAGAUUUCAUUACUAUAGCACAGAUGCUACUCACUCAUCCCUUGCUGCUUGCCUUCUCAUGGUUGAUGAGAGCAACACUAUUUCUUGGAUCUUUCCCAUUUGGUUUCUUUUCUUUCUAUAACCCAAAAUUGAUGAGGGAAAAAAAAAAACCUAUGCGUAUGCAUUUAUAAUUUCUACUUCAUAUUUCAACUGCAGCAUCUAAAAUUUGUGCUAUUUUAUUUACCUGUGUCUCUUAUGGACUUGCCGCUUUUGGUAUUCGUUUAUUAAGAGCUCGGAGUAAAGAAUCUCAUUCCAGGUAUCAGGCACGCCAGGAAGACACCAAUGGCUGCAGUCUUGGUAUAGGAGCGGUGAUUUCCUUUCCUCCGGCGAUAGGUUCUGCUUCCUAAAGAUUGAAGGGUGACCAUCCUUCCGGUAAUCUGUCAUUUGUGUGACAUUUAGGUAUGUGACAUGGGUCUUCAUUCCCCUUAGUACCUUCUCCAGCACCAACAUCUUGGGUGGAUAUUCCGUUAGAUAUUUAGCAUUCUUGAUCGGCUCAACCUCAUUGUCGCAUGCACCACCAGAGUUCCAUUGCCCACCACUGAAAUGCGAAGCAGAAUAACCUCUGAAGAAGACCACAGACUUCAUUGGAUUUAUAUUGGCAUCAACCCAUCUAGCCCAGGUUGUUAAAGCUUUGCGAAAUGCCUCAAGAACAUUCAAUUCAUCAUAUACAUGACUCCCUUCUUGGUAAUAAUCCUUCCCUUUAGAAGUUUUCUCAUGAGUCCACCAGUGCCCAGUGUUGAAGAUGAUAAUAUCUGCAUUUUUAUAUUGGUCAGACAACCUCCCUAUCAAAUCAAGCCGAAGAGUCUCCUUCUUCGUUCCAUUUUUGUCUGGCAUUUCCCAUUCUUGAACUAAGAAAGGUGAUACAAAGAACUCUAUAGUGCACUUAUAAUCUUUGAAUAUGAAGGAGUAUGAAGCUUCACCUCUAAAAUGGUGUCUCCCAUUGGCCUCAAAAACCUGGCUUGGAUCUUUCACUGAGCCUUUUAGAAUGCAAACGAGAGAUUCCCACAUAUUCCUAUUGAGGGAAUCGCCCACGAAAACAAGUCGCUUUCCUCUCAACAUAUCCAACAUACGAGCAGGAUUUAACCUUGGUAAACUGCAGCCUUUAGGCUUCCAUUUGUACUUCUGGAAGUCUUUGUCAGGUCUACCGUUAAGAAUACAAUUGAAUUGCUCAUCAAUCAGUGAACAAGACCCAGGCUUGUAAAGCGGGUACGAAUUAUCAUGCACCCAUUCACCAUCAAACAAAUCACAACUCAACAAGCUCUUGAUCCCCUGCUUACUCAACGCCUCUGAAUUAGUUCCAUUUUUCUGUUUCGAUCCAUUA